ACUUGCUCGCAAUGUUCUGCUGAGAUUACCGGGGAUGAUGUGCUCAUUAGGAUGUGAAUAACAGCAGCGGGAACUGAAUGGCGAAUGCUCGACUGGGUUGCGUUUAGGUUGCGACUAGGUAUCGGAGGUAGAAGCUUCUCGACGAGAAUUAGACCAGCGAGGGUUAUUACGAAUCGAGACACCAAUGUGACAAGUGCUAACAAUUUCCAAAAAUAGAAAGAUCUAGAAGGAAGAUCUAAGGGGGAAGAUGGGCAUACAAACGGAAGUACGAAGCUGAGAAAUAUCCAAAAAUUUGAAAUUGACUUGUCGUUGAGAAUCGUCAAUGUUCUACGCUUCAUGGUCUUGAUGACUGUGUUAACGGUGUCUCACAAGAUCGCGCCGAUGGGAGAAACUAUUAAAAGUUUUCAUAAAACUAAAAUACGGAAUUAACACGAAAUAAAAAUGUCUGAAGAGCAUUGAAAGUAUCUUUCCUUGACUACCGUGAGCGUGCUUGAUUGAUCCACAUGGACGUAACGAGAUGACCGGAAUGCUCACAUUGUUUAAACACAUAUGUAAUAUAAACAAGAACGAGCAUGGAUUCCUAGCAAUGCCGUAAGUAAUUUUCAUUUCUUUCCUUUAACAAUAACGAGUAAUAAUAAUAGCGAUGAAAUUUAAAAUUCUGCUAUAAAUUUUUCAUCAUAUUAUAAUAUUACAAUAUUAUAAUUUCAUUGCUGUGGAAGCAAUGACUGUAAAUAUUGGUUUUCCGCAAAUCCAUCCCAUAUUCCCGUUAUAUCAUGUUGCACAAAAUCAGAAAACCGACUCCUUUUGCAAUUAAUCAGAAUAGUUACAAAAGUAAAUUUCAUUCGAUCAAUCGUGAUAUAAUAUUAUAUGCUAAAAUUUAUCUUGAAUACCAUUCUGCAAAAUUAUUAUUAAACGAUAACUUGCUUAAUUACAAUUAUCAAUAGAAAGAGAUAGAAUUAUGUUCGCUAUCCUGUCGUAAAAUCAUUACAUUUUAUUUUUGUUUAAUCAACCCAGAGAUAAAUUUAUAUAAUAUUUUCUCUUAUACGUACGUACAUCAAUUCAAUUUUCUUUAUUCUUUUCAGACGGGACCAGGAUUAAGCAAAAGUAAAUAUUCAAUUAUAUCUAAAAUUACGUCCAAAUCAUUA
Vespula vulgaris is the source of this 1145-nucleotide long non-coding RNA. RefSeq lists it as uncharacterized. The record is from RefSeq and is a predicted model, not a curated record. The transcript is spliced from 3 exons. Lineage: Eukaryota; Metazoa; Arthropoda; Insecta; Hymenoptera; Vespidae.